Vicugna pacos (alpaca) is the source of this 4674-nucleotide non-coding RNA. The record is from RefSeq and is a predicted model, not a curated record. NCBI's taxonomy places the organism in Eukaryota, Metazoa, Chordata, Mammalia, Artiodactyla, Camelidae.
GUUGCUAACCGAGCCCCCUUGUUUCAUCCAGCUUUGCUUUUACGGUUGUUGCCUCCUUCUGAAGCAUUGUGACAGAACUGGAUGGUCCGACUUCUCAUUGCUGGUUUCCAGGGUGCGCUCGGACCAUGGACAGAACCCUUAAGCAUCAGCGCCUCUUUGUGUUUGUGCAUUUGUUGCUAAUUUCAAAUCAGCUUCUGUUUCAGAAGCGUGCGUGUCUUGACUGCAUUUUGAGAUAGCAUCUUUAGCCUACCUGAAUUGACAGCAUCUGUUCCUUCCCAGCAUCCAAAGCAACAUGUGCCCCAGUUUCAGAGAGCAGGCGAAACACAUGCCUGCCAGUCACGCUGAACCCUGUCCUCUUGAAAGAACUGUUCUCGCCUGCCCUUUUGUUUCAUUCAUUGUGGAGAAGUGUGGGUCCAACAAUGUCAUUAACGGGGUCCUUUGUGUUAAUAAACACAAUAGUUUGGGCUAACCAGUAGUUUGGGCUAAUCAUGCAGCCCUCUCAUCUCUGAAUUUGGCUGGUGGUGGCAGGUUGGGAGAUUUCAGACUCUCUUCAGCAGCACAGAGCAGAAUCAUCAGGCUGGAUGCGAGGCUGUCUUCAUGGGGCUGCAGCCUGUAUGGUUGCCCAGGGCUCUGUGCUUACAAAGACCCCAUCCUUGCCUAAAUGUUCUGCUGUGAAAUUCUUCAGUGAGGUUCCAUGCCUGGGAAGAAUAAGAGGGCUUCUGGUGGUAACACACCAUCACCAUCUUGAGUAGAUGUGGCCACGAAAGAAAAAUGCACAACGUACAAGUUUUGAGUUAUGUUUUAUUCAGGGAACUUACUGAGAACUAUAGCUCGGGAGACGGCCUCUCUGCGAGCUCUGAGGAAUUGUUCUGAAGAGGUAAGGGAUGAGCCAAGAUAUAUAGGAGUUUUUGUUUAAAAAAACAAACAAACCAUAUAGUCGAACAUCAAAAGAUUGUUGUUAAUCACAAAAAAUGGUCAUCUCAAGUUAGUGAUUUUAGUGCUUUUCUGUGUGUGGGAAGAUGAAAGAGUCUGGGCUCAUUGAAACUAUUCCUUAGAUUUGCAGGUGCCUGGGAAAGGGCGCAGCUAGAGGGUAGGGUUACUUACCUGGAAUGCCAUCAGACAGUCACAGUUUUGCUAAGAGCUGGUCCAGGACAAGACAGCCCUAUAUUGUGUCCAAUCUGCAGGGAAAUUCCCUUUCUCUACAGUCUCUUAGUGGCUGUCAGAGUAGUCAGUCACGAGACAGGGCCACGGAGAACAGGACAAGGGCCAGGUGAGCCUGGACCAGGCAGAGGAAGAAGGGAAAGUCUAAAGCAGGCUGUGCUUCUGUGUGAUGCUCUCUAACAGGUAGGUGGGGGAAGGACUCGGGAAGGGAGAACAGGAGAAGACAAACUUUUCCUACUCCGCAGUUGAACUGGCAUGGUUCUGCCACACCAAAAAGGCUCCUUCAGAAAUGAGCAAAGCCUCAGAACCAGCUGCUGCAGGACUGGAUGCAGCUGAGGAGGGGUGGCUGGGUUUGCGGGUGUUAAAGCCCGGGUGUUCUCUGGUACGUCGCACGUCCUGCCAGAUGAGGUGUGUCCCUAUGGAAAACAGGCCCUUCAUCCCACGCUUCUGAGGAUGAGGUUGCAAUAAAGAUGAAAUGAGAUCGCUUGGAAAGUGUUCCUAACUCAGCUUCUGGAUGUGAGCUCGCUUACCCUUCUGACAUUAUCUUUCAUUCAUUCAUUUAUUCAUUCAUCCAUAAAUAUUUAUUCAGUGCCUACUCUGUCAGGUGAUGCUGGAUGAGGGUGUUGGAAAUUAUCCUGGAUUUCAGUGAAUCGGGAGAAAUUCGGGGAGGCAGGCAUUGUGGUCAAAGAGCACUCAACUCUGCAAUUCCAAAACUUGAGCUAAUUCUCCUCUUCUUUGACCUGCUCUCCUUUCAGGAAUUCUCGAAACGAGAAACUGGUGUCUCCUCUCUAAUUAGUCAUCUUCAAUUAGUCAUUGCAUCUUUGCUUGUCUGUCUCCAAAAUCUCUCUGAAACUGUUCUGUCUCUUUUCCCAUGACUCCUGUGUUGCUCUGGGACUUAUUCCCAAUCAGCUGGACCUAUAGACCUGCCUCAGCUUCCUUCCUCAGCCUCGCGUGCUUCUGUUCCAACCGUCACACCUCUACCAGAAUGAUCUAUCCGUUUAUUUUUGGGGGGAUGGGGGGAAAUUGAACCCAGGACCUCAUGCAUGCGAAGCAUGUGCUCUACCACUGAACUGUACCCACCCACCCAGAAUGAUCUCUCCAAAAUGAAAAUUUAACUGUGCCCUACUCCUGUUUAAAGGGCCUAUCUGCCUACAUGAUACAUUUCAAGGUUCCUAGGUGAGUAUUAUGGGUUGCAUUGCACCCCCUCCCCCCAAAAAAGGUAUGUUGGAUUCCUACCCCCCACCAGUAUCUCAGAAGGUGACAUGGAGAUCAGGUUCUCAGAGAGGUGAUCAAGUUAAAAUGAGAUCAUGACGGUGGGCCCUGAUCCAAUAUGGCUGGUGUUCUUAUAAGAGGGGAGACUGGAUACAGAGACAGACAGGUCCUCAGGGCGAAUGCCAUGUGAAGACUGGAGUUAUGCCACGAGCCCAGGAACCACGUGAAGCUAGGAGAGGGGCCUGGGAAAAAUCCUUUCCUAGCAUCUUCAGAGGGAGCGCAGUCCUACUGACACCUUGAUCUCAGACUUCUAGCUUCCAGAACGGGGAGCAAUCAUUUUCUGCUGUUUGAGCUGCCCAGUUUGGGGUGCUCUGCGCUGGCAGCCCAAGCAAACUAACACGAUGAGAGUCCCAUCUUCCAGGGCUUUUACUUCAUUUAUUCCUGCCACACAUAUGUGUCAAGAGCUGAUCGUAUGCAGGUACUGUGCUGGUUCUUGGGAUAGGGCUGGAAAUAAGACAGGUGGUCCUUGCCUCGUGGAACUUAUGCUCUGGUGAGGGCUAUGACAAGUGCCCAGGCCCUCGGAAUGAGAGGUAAGAGGUCUCUGAUUCAUAUGGUCCUGAGCACACAAAAGCAGGACCUCAAAUCAGUACUUGGAAGGCUAGAGAGAGGUUCUCAGAAGAAGCGACAUCGAAUCUUGUUGUGAUAAGGACUCCCCCUUGCCUACAAAAUGUUUUAGAUGAACUAUGAAGAAAGUGGGAAGAAGAGAGGAAACUAAGGUGAAUUCUGCAAAUCAUCCUGGCCGCCCUCUGAGAUUAUACUCUUGGGCAUGAGUUUUCCCAUGUGGUGUGAGGAAGCCCUCUUGGUACUUUUGUCCACACUGUGGGUACAGGUACCAGAACGUAUCUACCAAGACAGAACUGCGCUAUGUACUACCUUCUGCUUUCCCUCUACCAGCCAGCUUUCCAUCAUGCUCCCUUUGGAGGCAGGCUUUGUCAUUUCUUUUCCCCUUCAAAGUUGACCUUGCUCAUUUUAACCAGAUAUCAACUAUUUUAAUAACAUGGCAAAGAGAAUGAGAAGACAAGCUCCAGACUGGGAGAAAAGAUUUGCAAAAGACAUCUGAUAAAGGAAUGUUAUCCAAAAUAUACUAAGAACCCUUAAAACUCAAUCAUAGGAAAAGGAACAACCUGAUUUAGAAAUGAGCAAAAGACCUGAAUAGUCACCAAAGAAGAUAGACAGAUGGCAAGGAAGCAUAUUAAAAGCAAGCAUAUCACAGAUCAUCAGGGGCAUACAAAUUAAAGCAACCAUGAGCUAUACACCUAUUAUAGUGGCCAAAAUUCAGAACACUGACAACACCAAAUGCUGAAGAGGAUGUGGAGCAACAGGAACUCUCAUUCAUUGCCAGCGGGAAUGCAAAACGGUACAGCCACUUUGGAAGACAGUUUGGCAGUUUCUUAUAAAACUAAACAACUCUUACCAUCUGAUCCAGCAAUCAGACUUCUUGGUAUUUACCCAAGUGAAUUCAGAACUUAUGUCUACCCCUGCCUAUGGGUAUUUCUAGCAGCUUUAUUCAGAAAUGCCAAAAUUUGGAAGCAACGAAAGAUGUCCUUCAGUAGGUGAAUGUGUAAUAAACUGUGCUACAUCCAGACAAUGCAGUAUUAGCACUAAAAAGAAAUAAGCUAUUAAGUCAUGAAAAGACACAGAGGGGCCUUAAAUGUAUAUUACUCAGUGAAAGAAGUCAAUCUGUAAAUGCUAUAUACUGUAUGAUUCCAAAUAUAUGGCAUUAUGAAAAGGCAAAAUUAUGAUGACAAUAAAAAGAUCUGCGGUUUCCAGGGAUGAGGGGUCAGGGAGGGAUGACAGGCGAAGCACAGAAGAGUUUUAGGGCAGAGAAGCUAUUCUGUAUGAUACUACAAUGGUGGACCUCUGUUGUUACACAUUUGUCAAAAACCCAUAGGUUGUGCAACACCAAGAGGGAGCCCUAAUGUAAACUGUGGACUGUGGGUGAUGGUGACAUAGCAGUGUAGACCCAUCCAUUUUAACAGAUGCACCCUGUGGUGCAAGGAAGUUGGACCUGUGUGGGGACAGAGGGCAUAUGGGAACUCACUAUUUUCCACUCAAUUUUGCUAUGAACCUAAAACUGCUCUAAACAAUAAAGUUUAUGGCUUAAAAACACAACAAAAUGAAACUCACAGGUAAAUUUGAGUUGUGUGUGGGAACUGUCAUCUCUCCAGGUUUUGUGCCUCUUUCUCCCGCUGAACAUCCCCAUGGAUAGCAUUCCCAACCGUUUCUUCUAUUUCACCUCUG